UGAGCUGAACACAAUACUACACAAACAUAUAAAAUUCUCUAAACAAAACAUUUGACCAACCCAGUAGAUGUGAUCGAACAGUAAACCUAACCACACUAGUACCGCAAGGGAAAAACAUAAGCAACAAACAGCAAAGAUAAAACCUUGUACCUUUCGCAUCAUGGUCUAGCAAGAAACCAAAGACAAGAAGAAUCACAGCCUUCACCCCGAAACCAGAUGAGCUACCUUAAAGCAGCCUAACGGGCACACCCUUCUCUGUAGCAAAAGAGUGGGAAGACUUAAAGGUAGAAGUGAAACGCUUACCGAAUCUGGAGAUAGCUGGCUACCCAAAACAGAAUCUUAGUUCCACCUUAAACCCAAAUAAUAACUACUUAUUUAUCCCUAAGGAUAAUCAAUAGGGGUACAGCCCUAUUGAAACAGGAUACAACCUGAAUUUGAGAGAAAUAAUAACACUUUCACCAAGUAGGCCUUAAAGCAGCCACCUUACACAAUAUCGUUAAAGAAUUCAACCAAAAACCCAAAAACUGACUAAAAACUCCAAACAAACUAAAGGUAAAUCCAUAAUUAUGGAUAUUAUCAUGCUAGAACUAAUAAUAAGACAACCUCUCUAAAUGCACCUAUCCACUAGAACGGAUAAACCACUAGCUAUUAACAGACCACAAUAGGCAAAAACAAAUCAAUAUUCACCUUAAAAUAAACUGUGACCCCAACACAGGCGCAUUAAAAAGAAAGAUCCACUAUUAUAAAAGGAACUCGGCAAACAAAGACCCCAACUGUUUAACAAAAACAUAACCUUUAGCCAAACAAAUAUUAAAGGCAACGCCUGCCCAGUGAACAUUAAACGGCCGCGGUACCCUAACCGUGCAAAGGUAGCGUAAUCAUUUGUCUACUAAUUAUAGACCUGUAUGAAAGGCAAAAUGAGGGCCUAACUGUCUCUUAUAAUAAAUCAAUUAAACUGAUCUCCUAGUAAAAAAGCUAGAAUCCCCACAUAAGACCAGAAGACCCUGUGAAGCUUAAACUAAACUAUUAAACCACAUAAUAGAUACUUUCGGUUGGGGCGACCUUGGAAAAAAAGAGAACUUCCAAACACUAUGACUCAUACCUCAAACCCCAUUUAGGCCCACAAGCCAACAAACGACCCAGCAAAGCUGAUAAUUGAACCAAGUUACUCCAGGGAUAACAGCGCAAUCUUCUUCAAGAGCCCAUAUCAAAAAGAAGGUUUACGACCUCGAUGUUGGAUCAGGACAUCCUAAUGGUGCAGCCGCUAUUAAGGGUUCGUUCGUUCAACGAUUAACAGUCCUACGUGAUCU
RNAcentral lists this ribosomal RNA (1310 nucleotides) under Gonyosoma frenatum. RNAcentral describes it as "partial 16S ribosomal RNA". It matches the Rfam family "Bacterial large subunit ribosomal RNA", at positions 546 to 2606 of the family's 2925-position model. The record is from RNAcentral. Lineage: Eukaryota; Metazoa; Chordata; Lepidosauria; Squamata; Colubridae.